Molecule: ribosomal RNA, 468 nt
Filed under: uncultured bacterium
Lineage: Bacteria
Description: partial 16S ribosomal RNA
Rfam family: Bacterial small subunit ribosomal RNA
Source: RNAcentral
GACGAACGCUGGCGGCGUGCUUAACACAUGCAAGUCGAACGGAAAGGCCCUGCUUUUGUGGGGUGCUCGAGUGGCGAACGGGUGAGUAACACGUGAGUAACCUGCCCUUGACUGUGGGAUAACUUCAGGAAACUGGGGCUAAUACCGGAUAGGAGCUCCUGCUGCAUGGUGGGGGUUGGAAAGUUUCGGCGGUUGGGGAUGGACUCGCGGCUUAUCAGCUUGUUGGUGGGGUAGUGGCUGACCAAGGCUUUGACGGGUAGCCGGCCUGAGAGGGUGACCGGGCACAUUGGGACUGAGAUAUGGCCCAGACUCCUACGGGAGGCAGCAGUGGGGAAUAUUGCACAAUGGGCGGAAGCCUGAUGCAGCAACGCCGCGUGCGGGAUGACGGCCUUCGGGUUGUAAACCGCUUUCGCCUGUGACGAAGCGUGAGUGACGGUAAUGGGUAAAGAAGCACCGGCUAACUACGUG